This 256-nucleotide ribosomal RNA is filed under the name uncultured bacterium. RNAcentral's name for it is "partial 16S ribosomal RNA". It matches the Rfam family "Bacterial small subunit ribosomal RNA", at positions 524 to 776 of the family's 1533-position model. The record is from RNAcentral.
UACGGAGGGUGCGAGCGUUAAUCGGAUUUACUGGGCGUAAAGCGCACGUAGGUGGUUGAUUAAGUCGGAUGUGAAAGCCCCGGGCGUCAACCUGGGAACGGCAUCCGAUACUGGUCGGCUAGAGUAUGGGAGAGGAAGGUAGAAUUCCGGGUGUAGCGGUGAAAUGCGUAGAGAUGUGGAGGAACACCGAUGGCGAAGGCAGCCCCCUCGGGCGAACUACUGACGCUCAUGCACGAAAGCGUGGGUAGCAAACAGG